RNAcentral lists this ribosomal RNA (92 nucleotides) under Vibrio sp. PID23_8. The record is from RNAcentral. Lineage: Bacteria; Pseudomonadati; Pseudomonadota; Gammaproteobacteria; Vibrionales; Vibrionaceae.
AUUUUGGACCCACCUGAUUUCCAUGCCGAACUCAGAAGUGAAACGAAAUAGCGCCGAUGGUAGUGUGGGGCUUCCCCAUGUGAGAGUAGGAC